This 464-nucleotide ribosomal RNA is filed under the name uncultured bacterium. Its description in RNAcentral is "partial 16S ribosomal RNA". It matches the Rfam family "Bacterial small subunit ribosomal RNA", at positions 339 to 795 of the family's 1533-position model. The record is from RNAcentral.
CUACGGGGGGCUGCAGUGGGGAAUAUUGCACAAUGGGCGCAAGCCUGAUGCAGCCAUGCCGCGUGUAUGAAGAAGGCCUUCGGGUUGUAAAGUACUUUCAGCGGGGAGGAAGGGAGUAAAGUUAAUACCUUUGCUCAUUGACGUUACCCGCAGAAGAAGCACCGGCUAACUCCGUGCCAGCAGCCGCGGUAAUACGGAGGGUGCAAGCGUUAAUCGGAAUUACUGGGCGUAAAGCGCACGCAGGCGGUUUGUUCAGUCAGAUGUGAAAUCCCCGGGCUCAACCUGGGAACUGCAUCUGAUACUGGCAAGCUUGAGUGUCGUAGAGGGGGGUAGAAUUCCAGGUGUAGCGGUGAAAUGCGUAGAGAUCUGGAGGAAUACCGGUGGCGAAGGCGGCCCCCUGGACGAAGACUGACGCUCAGGUGCGAAAGCGUGGGGAGCAAACAGGAUUAGAUACCCGAGUAGUC